AUUGAACGCUGGCGGCAGGCCUAACACAUGCAAGUCGAACGAGUGGCGUACGGGUGAGUAAUGUAUGUGAAUCUUCCCGGUGGAUGGGGAUAACUACUGGAAACGGUUGCUAAUACCGCAUACCAUCGGAUGUGCCCAAAUGGGAUUAGCUAGUAGGUGGGGUAACGGCUCACCUAGGCGACGAUCCCUAGCUGGUCUGAGAGGAUGACCAGCCACACUGGAACUGAGACACGGUCCAGACUCCUACGGGAGGCAGCAGUGGGGAAUAUUGCACAAUGGGCGCAAGCCUGAUGCAGCCAUGCCGCGUGUAUGAAGAAGGCCUUCGGGUUGUAAAGUACUUUCAGCGGGGAGGCGUUACCCGCAGAAGAAGCACCGGCUAACUCCGUGCCAGCAGCCGCGGUAAUAC
RNAcentral lists this ribosomal RNA (406 nucleotides) under uncultured bacterium. RNAcentral's name for it is "partial 16S ribosomal RNA". It matches the Rfam family "Bacterial small subunit ribosomal RNA", at positions 30 to 526 of the family's 1533-position model. The record is from RNAcentral.